Molecule: ribosomal RNA, 439 nt
Filed under: uncultured bacterium
Lineage: Bacteria
Description: partial 16S ribosomal RNA
Rfam family: Bacterial small subunit ribosomal RNA
Source: RNAcentral
CUACGGGCCGCUGCAGUGGGGAAUAUUGCACAAUGGAGGAAACUCUGAUGCAGCAACGCCGCGUGGAGGAUGACACUUUUCGGAGCGUAAACUCCUUUUAUAUAGGAAGAAGAUGACGGUACUAUAUGAAUAAGCGCCGGCUAACUCCGUGCCAGCAGCCGCGGUAAUACGGAGGGCACAAGCGUUACUCGGAAUCACUGGGCGUAAAGAGCGUGUAGGCGGAUUAAAAAGUCAGAAGUGAAACCCUAUAGCUUAACUAUAGAACUGCUUCUGAAACUCUUAAUCUAGAAUAUGGGAGAGGUAGAUGGAAUUUCUGGUGUAGGGGUAAAAUCCGUAGAGAUCAGAAGGAAUACCGAUUGCGAAGGCGAUCUACUAGAACAUUAUUGACGCUGAGACGCGAAAGCGUGGGGAGCAAACAGGAUUAGAUACCCCGGUAGUC